Molecule: ribosomal RNA, 494 nt
Filed under: uncultured bacterium
Lineage: Bacteria
Description: partial 16S ribosomal RNA
Rfam family: Bacterial small subunit ribosomal RNA
Source: RNAcentral
GACGAACGCUGGCGGCGCGCUUAACACAUGCGAGUCGAACGGAAAGGCCUGCUUUCCCUUGUGGAUUGCGGGUACUCGAGUGGCGAACGGGUGAGUAACACGUGAGUGAUCUGCCCCCAACUUUGGGAUAAGCCUGGGAAACUGGGUCUAAUUCCCGAUAGGACUGCAGGGUGGUGCCGGUUGUGGAAAACGAUUUUCUAGUGGUUGGGGAUGAGCUCGCGGCCUAUCAGCUUGUUGGUGGGGUAAUGGCCUACCAAGGCGGCGACGGGUAGCCGGCCUGAGAGGGUGGACGGCCACAGUGGGACUGAGAUACGGCCCAGACUCCUACGGGAGGCAGCAGUGGGGAAUAUUGCACAAUGGGCGGAAGCCUGAUGCAGCGACGCCGCGUGGGGGAUGACGGCCUUCGGGUUGUAAACUCCUUUCGACCGCGAGGAAGCCACCUGGUUGGAAGGGUGGUGACGGUAGUGGUAGAAGAAGCACCGGCUAACUACGUG